GAUGAAGAACGUAGCGAAAUGCGAUAAGUAAUGUGAAUUGCAGAAUUCAGUGAAUCAUCGAAUCUUUGAACGCAUCUUGCGCUCCUUGGUAUUCCUUGGAGCAUGCCUGUUUGAGUAUCAUGAGCAAAUCUCAAAGUCAAUUCCUUUUGUUAAUUCAAUUGGUUUUGCUUUGGACUUGGAGGUCUUGCAGAUUUUCACAGUCUGCUCCUCUUAAAUGCAUUAGCUGGAUCUCAGUAAUUAUGCUUGGUUCCACUCGGCGUGAUAAGUAUCACUCGCUGAGGACACUGUUAAAAAGGUGGCCAGGAAAAUACUGAUUGAACCGCUUCUAACGGUCUAUUAAGUUAGACAAUAACCCUUAAGUUUGAUCUCAAAUCAGGUAGGACUACCCGCUGAACUUAAGCAUAUCAAUAAGCGGAGGA
Molecule: unclassified non-coding RNA, 419 nt
Filed under: soil metagenome
Description: partial contains 5.8S ribosomal RNA, internal transcribed spacer 2, and large subunit ribosomal RNA
Rfam family: 5.8S ribosomal RNA (bases 1-120)
Source: RNAcentral